Long non-coding RNA from Hibiscus syriacus, 633 nucleotides. RefSeq lists it as uncharacterized. Lineage: Eukaryota; Viridiplantae; Streptophyta; Magnoliopsida; Malvales; Malvaceae. The transcript is spliced from 2 exons. The record is from RefSeq and is a predicted model, not a curated record.
UACAGAGUAGAAACGAUCGUAAGAGGAAGGGGAAAGAUCUUAAAUUGAAGUGAGGUGGGAAGAUAUGUUUAGAAGAAGCAAGUUUCUCAAUUUCCCAAUGGUCAUUGGAGCAGUCAUAAUUGGAGUUGUUUCUGGGAAGGCCAUUUUCGGACCUCCUCUUGAUGAUUACUGGAAAAAGAAGCUUCAAGAAGAGGCUGCUGCAAAAGAGGAGACCAACUCGGCUUAGAUGAAUGUCUUUAUUAAAAUUUGUCUAAUCUGGUCAUUAAAAAAAAAAAGAGUUUCUCAUCCAUUUAAUCUGUAUUCUAACAUUUGACGGCUUUUCUUGAUGCAAAUCGAGCUAGAUAUGAAUGGAGGAAAAACUGGUAUGCAUCAAAUUAUUUUGUUCGCAGUUCAAGGAUGGAUUCCUUCUUCAUAUUGCUUUUGCUUUCUAAGAGAUGAAAAGAAUAAACAACUUUUGCUGAGCUUCAUUUGUAAUACUCAAUGGAGGUGCCUGUUAUGAUUUAUGUUAUAUUUUGUGCAUACGCCUCCUCUUUUCCACUGCUUGUCUAGUUAAGUAUUCAAAUGUCAAACCCGACCGAAAGUAGGAUAUAUGCUGCAUUGCGAUUUGCAUGAACAAGAAACUGUGUAAUGCUC